GUGUGUGUGUGUGUGUGGCAAGGCAAUACAUCAAAGCAGCUUAUGAUUUAUCAAUCACGAGACAUCACAUAUACCAAGCAAAAUUUAAAGUAUAUUCCUCUUGCAUUGAACUUUAACACAAAUACAGGAAGGAUUUAUAGGGUUGAUCCCGACCUGCUUGUGGUUAGUAGUCCUAUAUUAGGGGGAUGUGGGUUUCCCCUCUCGAGUCGUUGUGACUGCUUGAUUUGGAAUGCGGGUUUCGUUUGCCGGAAGUUCUGUGUAAUAGCAACACAUCAAAUUUGCUUGUGAUCAAGCAAAUUUCUUCAGAUGUAGCAUUGCACAGCUAGCAGGAACCACAUAUUUUUCAACGGACCAAUCUACAUAAUAAACAAAUAAAAAAAUCAAACUGAAAAGUA
This is a long non-coding RNA of Drosophila montana, 395 nucleotides long. RefSeq lists it as uncharacterized. NCBI's taxonomy places the organism in Eukaryota, Metazoa, Arthropoda, Insecta, Diptera, Drosophilidae. The transcript is spliced from 2 exons. The record is from RefSeq and is a predicted model, not a curated record.